GAUGAACGCUGGCGGCGUGCCUAACACAUGCAAGUCGAGCGAUUUACGUCGGUAAAGAGCGGCGGACGGGUGAGUAACGCGUGGGUAACCUGGCCUGUACACACGGAUAGCAUACCGAAAGGUAUGCUAAUACGAGAUAAUAUACUUUUAUCGCAUGGUAGAAGUAUCAAAGCUGUUGCGGUACAGGAUGGACCCGCGUCUGAUUAGCUAGUGGGUAAGGUAAGGGCUUACCAAGGCGACGAUCAGUAGCCGACCUGAGAGGGUGAUCGGCCACAUCGGAGCUGAGACACAGUCCAAACUCCUACGGGAGGCAGCAGUGGGGAAUAUUGCACAAUGGGCGAAAGCCUGAUGCAGCAACGCCUCGUGAGCGAUGAAGGCCUUCGGGUCGUAAAGCUCUGUCCUCAAGGAAGAUAAUGACGGUACUUGAGGAGGAAGCCCCGGCUAACUACGUGCCAGCCGCCGCCGUAA
RNAcentral lists this ribosomal RNA (468 nucleotides) under uncultured bacterium. RNAcentral describes it as "partial 16S ribosomal RNA". It matches the Rfam family "Bacterial small subunit ribosomal RNA", at positions 28 to 523 of the family's 1533-position model. The record is from RNAcentral.